RNAcentral lists this ribosomal RNA (772 nucleotides) under uncultured bacterium. Its description in RNAcentral is "bacterial SSU rRNA". It matches the Rfam family "Bacterial small subunit ribosomal RNA", at positions 720 to 1504 of the family's 1533-position model. The record is from RNAcentral.
GGCAACUUACUAAGCCAUUACUGACGCUGAGGCACGAAAGCGUGGGUAGCGAACAGGAUUAGAUACCCUGGUAGUCCACGCUGUAAACGAUGUUCACUCGCUGUUUGCGAUACACAGUAAGCGGCUGAGCGAAAGCAUUAAGUGAACCACCUGGGGAGUACGAUCGCAAGGUUGAAACUCAAAGGAAUUGACGGGGGCCCGCACAAGCGGAGGAACAUGUGGUUUAAUUCGAUGAUACGCGAGGAACCUUACCUGGGCUUAAAUGUAGAUUGCAUUUCUGAGAAAUCGGGAUUCCCUUCGGGGCUAUUUACAAGGUGCUGCAUGGUUGUCGUCAGCUCGUGCCGUGAGGUGUCGGGUUAAGUCCCAUAACGAGCGCAACCCCUAUCGUUAGUUGCCAGCGGGUCAAGCCGGGGACUCUAGCGAGACUGCCACCGUAAGGUGAGAGGAAGGUGGGGAUGACGUCAAAUCAGCACGGCCCUUAUGUCCAGGGCUACACACGUGUUACAAUGGCCGAUACAAAGGGCAGCUACUUCGCGAGAAGAUGCUAAUCUCUAAAGUCGGUCCCAGUUCGGAUUGGAGUCUGCAACCCGACUCCAUGAAGUUGGAUUCGCUAGUAAUCGCGCAUCAGCCAUGGCGCGGUGAAUACGUUCCCGGGCCUUGUACACACCGCCCGUCAAACCAUGGGAGCUGGGGGUGCCUGAAGUCUGCCACCGCAAGGAGCGGCCUAGGGUAAAGCUAGUGACUGGGGUUAAGUCGUAACAAGGUAACCGUA